RNAcentral lists this small RNA (132 nucleotides) under Salmonella enterica. RNAcentral's name for it is "RtT sRNA". It matches the Rfam family "RtT RNA". Rfam says of the family: This family represents a bacterial cis-regulatory element known as RtT RNA. The exact function of RtT is unknown although it is thought that it may be involved in changing the cellular response in relation to amino acid starvation. The record is from RNAcentral. RNAcentral also lists the same sequence under 5 other names. Lineage: Bacteria; Pseudomonadati; Pseudomonadota; Gammaproteobacteria; Enterobacterales; Enterobacteriaceae.
AUUCUACCCAUGUGGGGAAGGAUGAGAAGCUUCGACUAAGGUUCGAUUCGAGCGAAAGCGAGAAAGCGUUGCCGCAGGCAACGACCCGAAGGGCGAAACGCGCAGCGCUGAGUCAUCCUUCCCCCACCACCA